This 420-nucleotide ribosomal RNA is filed under the name uncultured bacterium. RNAcentral's name for it is "bacterial SSU rRNA". It matches the Rfam family "Bacterial small subunit ribosomal RNA", at positions 91 to 507 of the family's 1533-position model. The record is from RNAcentral.
ACGAGUGGCGAACGGGUGAGUAAAGCAUCGGAACGUGCCCUGGAAUGGGGGAUAACGUAGCGAAAGUUACGCUAAUACCGCAUAUUCUGUGAGCAGGAAAGCAGGGGAUCGCAAGACCUUGCGUUCUGGGAGCGGCCGAUGUCGGAUUAGCUAGUUGGUGGGGUAAAAGCCUACCAAGGCGACGAUCCGUAGCGGGUCUGAGAGGAUGAUCCGCCACACUGGGACUGAGACACGGCCCAGACUCCUACGGGAGGCAGCAGUGGGGAAUUUUGGACAAUGGGGGCAACCCUGAUCCAGCCAUUCCGCGUGAGUGAAGAAGGCCUUCGGGUUGUAAAGCUCUUUCAGCAGGAACGAAACGGUGGCCAUUAAUACUGGCUACUAAUGACGGUACCUGAAGAAGAAGCACCGGCUAACUACGUG